UAUUGAUUUUUAUAAUAGGUGUUUUCUGCCCGGUGUUGAUUUAUAAACGGCCGCGGUAUCUUGACCGUGCGAAGGUAGCAUAAUCAUUUGCUCUUUAAUUGGGGGCUUGUAUGAAGGAAAGUUUGAGAUUUUUUCUGUCUUUUUCUAAAGUUAGAAUUUGCUGUUCUUGUGAAGAAGCAAGAUUUUGUUAAAAAGACAAGAAGACCCUUUUAAGCUUAAUUCUUUGUUAGUGUCAAUUUUUUUCUUUUCUGUUGUUUAAGAUAUUUUUUUAUAUUUAUUAGGUUUUGGUUGGGGCGACUAAAGAAGAUUAAAUCUUCUUUUUUUUCUUAGGUUUUAAACCGAAUGGUGACCCAAAUUUUUUUGGUUGCAAAAAUUAGUUACUAAAGGGAUAACAGCGUAAUCUUUUCAGAGAGUUCUUAUCGAAGAAAAGGAUUGCGACCUCGAUGUUGACUUAUUAUAUCCUUAUAAGGAGUAGAAGUUGUAAGGGUUGGUCUGUUCGACCAUUAAAAUAAUACGUGAGUUGAGUUCAGACCGGUGUGA
This 540-nucleotide ribosomal RNA is filed under the name Lineidae sp. Pili_CB137_CB050_18_03. RNAcentral's name for it is "partial 16S ribosomal RNA". It matches the Rfam family "Bacterial large subunit ribosomal RNA", at positions 1834 to 2624 of the family's 2925-position model. Lineage: Eukaryota; Metazoa; Nemertea; Pilidiophora; Heteronemertea; Lineidae. The record is from RNAcentral.